Molecule: ribosomal RNA, 465 nt
Filed under: uncultured bacterium
Lineage: Bacteria
Description: partial 16S ribosomal RNA
Rfam family: Bacterial small subunit ribosomal RNA
Source: RNAcentral
CCUACGGGAGGCAGCAGUGGGGAAUAUUGCGCAAUGGGCGAAAGCCUGACGCAGCGACGCCGCGUGAGGGAUGAAGGUCUUCGGAUCGUAAACCUCCGUCAGCAGGGAAGAACGGUCACUGUGCUAAUCAGCAGUGAAUUGACGGUACCGGCAAAGGACGCACCGGCUAACUCCGUGCCAGCAGCCGCGGUAAUACGGAGGGUGCGAGAGUUAAUCGGAAUUACUGGGCGUAAAGCGCUCGUAGGCGGUAUGUCAAGUCAAGGGUGAAAUCCCCGCGCUCAACGUGGGAACUGCCUUUGAAACUGGCAAACUUGAGUGUGUGAGAGGAUAGUGGAAUUCCAGGUGUAGGGGUGAAAUCCGUAGAUAUCUGGAGGAACACCGGUGGCGAAGGCGACUAUCUGGCACAUAACUGACGCUGAGGAGCGAAAGCGUGGGUAGCAAACAGGAUUAGAUACCCCUGUAGUC